RNAcentral lists this long non-coding RNA (5422 nucleotides) under Homo sapiens (human). Its description in RNAcentral is "HSALNT0036961". The record is from RNAcentral. Lineage: Eukaryota; Metazoa; Chordata; Mammalia; Primates; Hominidae.
AUUUGUUUUAAAAAAGAGAGAGAGAAGAGAAAUGUUUAUUUUACUGGAAUUUUAUUAUACCAAAUAUUGUUCCAAUAUGUAGGCCGUGAUGUGGCACUCUAAAAUCUAGUUCUUGUAAAGAGAUAUAUAAGAAAGCCAUGUUUGUGUUGGUAAGAUUUAAUAAUCAAUCCCCUAGUGAGCUGGGAGAAUUCUUGCCACUUUCAAAGACACCUGCCUUAACCGUAAGACCUAUGGAAAUCUCAUUUGUGGUGUCAUUCUGGGAUCACAAAAGGAUUCCAUUUAAAAUGCAUCGUUAAUUUUUCUACAGAAAUGGAUAUAGAUUGCUAUCUAACAUUUGGAAAUUCAUAGAUUAAUUAAUUUAAAAGAAGUUCAAUGAAAGGAAAGAAGAGAAAAUGAGCAGUGAUAGCUAAAGAUAAAGAAAGCCUGAUCAAUGUAUAUUUGCUUUUUCAAAAAGCAUUUAAUAGGAAACCCCUCAUACUCUGGGCCCCUUACUGACCACUGCAGUUCUGGGAGAAAUGAUGUAAACAUAAAACAUUUUAGUAAAUAUAAUUAUAAUGAGUUCUAAUCACUUAAGAGUAUAUAUUUUUUCUUUGCACCAUGGGUCAUAUGUGAAAUUGUUUUAUUAAUUUUAAAAGAGAGAGAAAUGCUUCCUAACACACAUUAGUUGGAAUAGCGUAAUGGCCAGUAUAACCAGUUUCUUAAACAAGUCAAUUAGAGGAGACGAUCUUUCAGGUAUCCCAUUUGAUUUAUUAUUCACUUGGGAAUUAACAGAGAAUGGAUCAUGAUAUAAAUUCCUCUGUAGGUUUUAUUAUAUUGGCAUUUUGGUGGAUAGAUAAUAUAUAGAACCCCUGGGCCUAUCACUAUCAAGGAUGCUAUUGAUUGUAUCAGCAGCAUUAUCCUGCAAUUUUCCCUCAUAACUAUUUAUGCAUCUCUCUGUGAUUUGUAAUUCAGCAGUAAUCAUUUUCUGUGGCUGCUGCAAUUUUCUUUCCAUGUGGUACCUAGGCUAUGUACUGAAACAAGGCUUGAUUUUAAGCCCAAAGAUUUGGGGUUUCGUUUUAGAAUAAUAGAGAGGAGAUCAAAGAAGUUUUAGAAUUAGAAUUAAUUGUUAAGGAUGAGGAGGAAACAUUAGUCCUUUAUUUUAUUAGUUCCAUGGGUGGAUGAGAGAUAAGCAGUGGCAAAGUGGGAGAACACAGAUAAAAUCAGAGGUGAUUUCAUCAGGGUAGCAGGAGAGGAAAUUAGCAGGAACUUGAUGCUUGGACAAAGUUGAGUCUACUUUUCCCUGCUGGCUCCUUUGGGGGCUGCUUCUGAGCACUUCGUGGGCUUGGAAAGGGAGUAGAAUCUUUUUAAAGCCCUGCUUAUCCCCUCAGGGAGAAAAAAAAAUCUCUGAGGGCCCUGGACUUGGACUGAAACAGAGUUUCAACAGGGUUGAAACCUUGCUCUGGGAACAGAGGCACCAAGCAAGUUUGGGGAGGAAGGGCUAGCUUUUACUUGCCUAACUGAAGAGUGGCAACAUGAAGGUGAUGCACAAAACACACUUGUUUACUUUUCUCCAUCCAUAGUGAGGAAGAAACACACAGAAGAGAACGGUUGUAGCACCCAGGUUGCAGGUGCAUCAGAAAUAGAGAAAUGUAUUCACACCUUGAAGUUGAUGCCGAGGGCUUCUUAAGGAAACUCUAGAGGAUGGGAAAGGAGUACUUCGAUUAGGUCUCCGUGACUCAGGAUAGCUAACAUCCCAGAACUUUCACUCGUAAUUUUGCUCAGACUUCGUCUCCAAGAUCACAUGUUCUCAGUCACAGAACCAUGAGUCGUUAUAUUUCAUCCAAAGAUGACCUGCAAUCCUGCCAUGUUUUGCAGCUGCCACACCCACAGCAGUGCACCUGAUUUUCUGUUGAUUAAAAUGGUCCAACAGCGGGCGCCCCUCCCCACUACCUCGGAAGAGCAACUAUUUAUCCUUUAGAAUCUACCUUGUCCAGGGCUUUUAUAUGCCUGGCCUUUGAAUCGGUCAUCUCCUGUUUGUAUCGUGACUAAGGGAGAGGCUUUCUGGCAAAAUCUUGUCAGUGAUGGUGAUUUCUCCUCCACAUUGCUGCUGAAACUGGGAUGCAGACUUCCUUCACAUUGGCUUUCUUCUUCAGGAAAUGCACAGGAGCCUCUUGCCUUGUAAUACACAGUCUGUCUCAUUCAUAAAGUCUUGUCCUGGAAAAUGCCUCAUUCAUCCCUGCAGAAGACCCGCCGUUGGGAGGGCAGGGGCGUUCGAAACCUUGGGAGACAGAAGACAAUAGUGGAGUGCUUGGCAGCAGUGCCUGGGCUGCUUUAGCAACAUGCACCCACGCCAGGGAGAGGAUAAAACGCUGCAGUUGUUUACUUGCCUCUCUGGAGCAAAAGAGUCUCUUCGCCUACAAUAUAGAUGCCAAAUCCUCAGGUCCUGAGUGAGGAAAUGAUGAGCUUCGCCGGGGAUUGGCAUGAAGUCCUGUGCUCCAAGAUAGCACGGCAUUUUACUUGAAAGCAUUCGUUGUUUAAAGAGAAAACGAGAAUUGUGGGAUUUUUUGUCAAUCGAGAGUCAGCCAACUUCCUCUCCCACUGGCCGCUCACACAGAAUGCCCACCGUGCCCUGCGGUGCCCUGCCACGGAGCCAGGCUGGCCUGCUCUCUGGCCACCGAAGGCACUUGCUUCUCUUUCGGAAUCUGAUCACAGGCAACUUAAAUUUGCCAACGUUACCCAUAUUAGUAAUUGCAAAAUAAUAAACAUGGCAAAUUUCCUAUUAAUAAGGCAUCCAGUGUAACUCCUUUUGCAGAAAGAGCUCUCUGGAAUCCUAAGCCUAAUAGGUCUGUGUUUAUUUCUCCACCAGCAGCAUAAUGUGACUGAUUUACAAGAGUUUAACUCAAGUGUUAAUCUGACAGUGACGAAGAGCUCCUCACUGGUGCAGUCACUUACACUAUCAUAUUAGUUGCCUCCUCUAUUAAAGCAGUGUGGUCGAUAAUUGGAAUGCUUUUAUGUCUAGUGGUUCUGACAAGCCUCUUCUUCAGGUCACAUAUGGGCGGUCUAGCUCUCCGCUCAGCCCAACAGUGGCAAAUAAUUUAAACUGAGAAAGUAUUGUUCUCCUCGUAUUGUGGAGCAAGGGCAGUUCAAGGGAAGUGAGACUGUGCACUGGCUACCUGCUGCUGUGCAGUAAAAUAAGGUGGACAUGAUACAGGGUUGGGAGUACAAUUAAAUCUAUUUUGCACCAAUGUGUUGCUGGACAGAUGAGUUUCCACAUGGCAGAGCUUUAUGAUCUUUAAGGUAGACUGAACUAAUAGAUUGGUGUGGAGCGCACUGAAGUUACCAAGGAUGAGAAAGCAGGCAGUAGUACAUUUGAACUACAGGUUUCUCAUAUGCUCCACGUCAUGCUGAGUUUUUAUAGCUCCUGGCUUUCAAAAAGCCUGUUUCAAAGAGGUUUGCGCUAGACUGGGCAUGCAGUUUUGCUCUGCAGAUAUUGUCGCUACCGAUUUAGUGGAAUGCAAUUAGGAAGCCUAAAUUAAGUGGUAAUGGAGAACCAGCUCUUGAAACUGGGGUUUCCACGGCAACCACUGCUUACAAUACAGCCUUCAGUUAGUUUUCCCACUUUAUCUGCAAAAUGCACAAUUGAGCUUUAAAACAGCUCGGUGCUGAAAAACGCACUGUAAACAACUGUUUGCAAUGAGAGUUUUACACUGUCUUUAAAUACAACAAACUAUCACAUAAAAUUUACUUGCCCUCCCUAAUAAAGCAAAAUCUGGGUUGGCAAUCAGUUAGCGAUUUUAAAAUUUAUUAUUCCUUUCCCCUGUUUGGAUUUAUUUUUAAGGGAAGAUGCCACGAGUCAUUAGGUCUCUUAACUUUGGUCAUUCUUGCUGCAUUUUCAGCUCCCCUGACAAUCUGCCUAUCCCACCAGUCCCUUGCUAAAAUGUGUUUCAUCUUAGCAAAUAAUUGUUUCAAAUAAACAUACAAUGUGCUCCUUUUCUAGGUUCUUUUCGUAUUUUGGUAACAUUUUACAGAUUCUGCUCGUGUUUUCCCUUUGUAACAUGUCAUAGAUUUGCAAGACUUUCCUAUUUACUAAUUUGUUAUUAAUCUUCUUUCCAGCUUACUACUCUUUUAAAAGUCCACGUUUCAUUUCUCUGUACAUUCGGCAAUUAACCAUCGAGGCUGUCUUUUGCCAGCCUAACUAGCAAGAGGAGACAGUUAAAAGAUAAUAUCAAAGCAGGUGUAUUGCUAAACACAGUUGUUUAAAACAGCUAUGAAGAACUUGUACUUUUGUAAAACUCAUUUUCUUUCAUGUCUUAACAGGAUGAGCACUGGAACAUGUCCGGACAGAUCCAGGCAGCUGGUGAAAACUCAUGAAUUCUCUGCAGCACAGAAGGGAGCAGGUUUGCAUUCAGGCCACUGAGACGACGGAGGCUGCAUCACAGAAGAGGCCGUGGGAGGUCACAGGUACGGCCUCUCCUUCUGACUGUACAAUGAACUCUGCAAGCUGUGUGGUCAGAGUGCCAGGGACAGCCAGGAACUGCUGUCAUCGUUCCAGGUGGAGCUGACAGACUGUCUCCGAAGCGCCCACCUGCGCGUGCGCCCCCUCUUCCCGGCACAGGCUAGAGAUGCGCAGAAUCCUAACUACGGCCACCGUUUCCUGCCUCAACGAGCCAUGCCCUAAAAGAAACAAAUGCAUCGCCCCAGAAUUCUUAGAAAGUUACAAUCAUCUGCUUAACUCUUUUAAUUUCCUUUUCCUUCAACUUAAACUUUAAUUUCAGGUAUCUUCUAUACAACACAGAAGUCACGCUCUGGAUAGAAUUAAAAGGAAAUUAACUUGGGGUUUAGGGUGGACGUUUUUUGCCUUAUUUUGCUUCUUAGUAAAUGAAAGUGAAGCCUGAAUAAUGAGAAUAUUAUUAAUCCAUCUCCAUUUUUCUACUUUAAAGGCACAGCAUAGAUUUUGGUUCCAGUUGUUACUACUUUAAUGAGAGUAAUGAAUAUUCCAUGUGAGGGCAGUGUGCAUGAAAGUGUGCUGGGAAAGUUCUAUGGAUCUUUGUGUUUUGUUUCAGUUUUGAGGAUUAAAUGCAAGUUUAAUCCUUUAAUGAAUAUAUAAGUCGGUUGAUGCCCUUUCUUGAGAAAGUUAUGGUUAAAUUGUUGUGUCAAAUCAUUGUAUUUCAUUCUGUCUCCAGUGUGGGGGUAGCAUAGAGAGGUGGUGGGUAGGGCUGGGGGUGAAUAUGUGUGUUUUUCUUAAGCGACGCUAGUUUUGGAAAAUGUAAGGAUUCCAAAGGUUAAUGUGGAUUAAAAUGCUGUCUGCCAUGAACUUUAGAAAUUGAAAUAAAUGUGGUUGGUAAAAGAAGAACUGUGUUUUGAUUACACGGAAAUGCUUUUGUAGGCCUUUUCUUUCAGGUGAAGUAAACAUCUUAAAAAUAAGCACAAUAAAUAUGUUUCU